RNAcentral lists this ribosomal RNA (253 nucleotides) under uncultured bacterium. Its description in RNAcentral is "partial 16S ribosomal RNA". It matches the Rfam family "Bacterial small subunit ribosomal RNA", at positions 524 to 776 of the family's 1533-position model. The record is from RNAcentral.
UACAGAGGGUGCAAGCGUUGUUCGGAAUUAUUGGGCGUAAAGGGCGCGUAGGCGGUGCGGUAAGUCUGUAGUGAAAUCUCUGGGCUCAACUCAGAGUCUGCUGCAGAAACUGCCGUGCUUGAGUGUGGGAGAGGUGAGUGGAAUUCCCGGUGUAGCGGUGAAAUGCGUAGAUAUCGGAAGGAACACCUGUGGCGAAAGCGGCUCACUGGACCAUUACUGACGCUGAGGCACGAAAACUAGGGGAGCAAACAGG